GGGCCCGCACAAGCGGUGGAGUAUGUGGUUUAAUUCGAUGCAACGCGAAGAACCUUACCAGGGUUUGACAUCCUGCGAAUCUCUUGGAAACAGGAGAGUGCCUUCGGGAACGCAGUGACAGGUGGUGCAUGGCUGUCGUCAGCUCGUGUCGUGAGAUGUUGGGUUAAGUCCCGCAACGAGCGCAACCCACGUCUUUAGUUGCCAGCAUUUAGUUGGGCACUCUAGAGAGACUGCCGGUGAUAAACCGGAGAAGGUGGGACGACGUCAAGUCAUCAUGGCCCUUACGACCAGGGCUACACACGUGCUACAAUGGGAUGUACAAGGGUUGCGACCCCCGCGAGGGUGAGCUAAUCCCAUAAAGCAUCUCGU
This 369-nucleotide ribosomal RNA is filed under the name uncultured bacterium. RNAcentral's name for it is "bacterial SSU rRNA". It matches the Rfam family "Bacterial small subunit ribosomal RNA", at positions 917 to 1289 of the family's 1533-position model. The record is from RNAcentral.